Molecule: long non-coding RNA, 278 nt
Organism: Fukomys damarensis (Damara mole-rat)
Lineage: Eukaryota; Metazoa; Chordata; Mammalia; Rodentia; Bathyergidae
Exons: 3
Source: RefSeq, a predicted model, not a curated record
CGUCGGUGUGACUGCUGGACCUUUCGCCCCGCAUCUGUGAGCUCGGAGACGCUGUGGCUGCGGGCAGUUGCUGCGUCGGGAACCAGGGGGGAGCUGAGCCUGGCUGGUUUGUGAUCAGCACUGCCUCCAGCCUCAGACAGUCUGUAGUGUGCUCUAGUCACUUGGUGACAAGGACUGUGGUGGAAGUCAACCUGACCACGGACUGUUGCUCAAGAGAGCCAGUAGUGAAGACACGCUCAAUAAGCCUGGAAGUACUUCUUCAUCAGGGAUAGUGCGGC